This 246-nucleotide long non-coding RNA is filed under the name Elaeis guineensis (African oil palm). RNAcentral's name for it is "long non-coding RNA (EGUI_LNC026509)". Lineage: Eukaryota; Viridiplantae; Streptophyta; Magnoliopsida; Arecales; Arecaceae. The record is from RNAcentral.
UGUCAUCAGCGAAGGUAGCUCUCUCAGAAGUACUAAUUUUUGAUGCUUCAGCUUGAGAAUUAGAAUCAAUGGGAUCAUUUCUUUCGGAUAGGUCGGGUUCGGUACCAUCUUUGCCAAGGACUUGUUCCCUAAAGAAGGAGGUGGAUGGGGUCGAUAAAGGUUGGUAAGGUUAGGGCAGUGGGUUUAGUUUCAAUUCCCAAUCCAAUGUAUGAAGAAUCAGAAGCUUAAGCUGAAUCUGCAGCAAUU